CCUCAAGUUUUCUCUUAUCUUGUUUCAAAAAAUCCCAUUUAAUAUAUAUAUAUAUAUAUAAUGAAAUCAAUAUAUAUUAUAGCAUAUAUACAGAUUUGAUCUGAUAUAUGUACUUAUAUUACUGAUAUAUAUAUAUAUAUAUAUCAUGAAUAUUAUUAAGUAGUCAGUACAAUUAAUCUCCUCUCUUUCUCUGGCGAAAAGGGAAUUUAUAAUAGAAGAGAUGCAUGACUGGGGAAAGAGUGACUUAUAUAUAUAUAUAUAUAUAUCAAGAGAUGGAGAUGAAGAUGGAUAUGGAGGUUGGGGUGAGUAAAUUCGAUGUCAUUCUUUGUCAACUGAUCAGUCUUUUCUGCAUAUAAUCUCUUAGUUUCGUUGUCUGUUCGACCUUGAAAUAAUUUCAAUAUUAUUAUAUCUCUAUAUAUAAA
Humulus lupulus (European hop) is the source of this 422-nucleotide long non-coding RNA. RefSeq lists it as uncharacterized. The transcript is spliced from 2 exons. Lineage: Eukaryota; Viridiplantae; Streptophyta; Magnoliopsida; Rosales; Cannabaceae. The record is from RefSeq and is a predicted model, not a curated record.